This 450-nucleotide ribosomal RNA is filed under the name uncultured bacterium. RNAcentral describes it as "partial 16S ribosomal RNA". It matches the Rfam family "Bacterial small subunit ribosomal RNA", at positions 354 to 796 of the family's 1533-position model. The record is from RNAcentral.
GUGGGGAAUUUUGGACAAUGGGCGCAAGCCUGAUCCAGCCAUGCCGCGUGAGUGAAGAAGGCCUUCGGGUUGUAAAGCUCUUUCGGCCGGGAAGAAAUCGGCGACUCUAACAUAGUCGCUGGAUGACGGUACCGGACUAAGAAGCACCGGCUAACUACGUGCCAGCAGCCGCGGUAAUACGUAGGGUGCGAGCGUUAAUCGGAAUUACUGGGCGUAAAGCGUGCGCAGGCGGUUUUGUAAGACAGAUGUGAAAUCCCCGGGCUUAACCUGGGAACUGCGUUUGUGACUGCAAGGCUAGAGUACGGCAGAGGGGGGUGGAAUUCCUGGUGUAGCAGUGAAAUGCGUAGAUAUCAGGAGGAACACCGAUGGCGAAGGCAGCCCCCUGGGCCUGUACUGACGCUCAUGCACGAAAGCGUGGGGAGCAAACAGGAUUAGAUACCCCUGUAGUCC